AACGCGAAGAACCUUACCCAGGCUCGAAAUGUAAUGGACGACACCAGAGAUGGUGUUUUCCGAAAGGACUAUUAUAUAGGUGCUGCAUGGCUGUCGUCAGCUCGUGCCGUGAGGUGUUGGGUUAAGUCCCGCAACGAGCGCAACCCUUAUCAUUAGUUGCCAACAUUUAAGGUGGGGACUCUAAUGAGACUGCCUGGGUUAACCAGGAGGAAGGUGAGGAUGACGUCAAGUCCGCAUGGCCUUUAUGUCUGGGGCUACACACGUGCUACAAUGGUCGGUACAGAAGGCAGCAAGACCGUAAGGUGGAGCAAAUCCGUAAAGCCGAUCUCAGUUCAGAUUGUAGUCUGCAACUCGACUACAUGAAGUUGGAAUUGCUAGUAAUGACGUGUCAGCAAUAACGUCGUGAAUACGUUCCCGGGCCUUGUACACACCCUACAGU
Molecule: ribosomal RNA, 439 nt
Filed under: uncultured bacterium
Lineage: Bacteria
Description: bacterial SSU rRNA
Rfam family: Bacterial small subunit ribosomal RNA
Source: RNAcentral